Molecule: ribosomal RNA, 468 nt
Filed under: uncultured bacterium
Lineage: Bacteria
Description: partial 16S ribosomal RNA
Rfam family: Bacterial small subunit ribosomal RNA
Source: RNAcentral
GACGAACGCUGGCGACGUGCUUAACACAUGCAAGUCGAACGGAAAGGCCCUGCUUUUGUGGGGUGCUCGAGUGGCGAACGGGUGAGUAACACGUGAGUAACCUGCCCUUGACUUUGGGAUAACUUCAGGAAACUGGGGCUAAUACCGGAUAGGAGCUCCUGCUGCAUGGUGGGGGUUGGAAAGUUUCGGCGGUUGGGGAUGGACUCGCAGCUUAUCAGCUUGUUGGUGGGGUAGUGGCUUACCAAGGCUUUGACGGGUAGCCGGCCUGAGAGGGUGACCGGCCACAUUGGGACUGAGAUACGGCCCAGACUCCUACGGGAGGCAGCAGUGGGGAAUAUUGCACAAUGGGCGGAAGCCUGAUGCAGCAACGCCGCGUGCGGGAUGACGGCCUUCGGGUUGUAAACCGCUUUCGCCUGUGACGAAGCGUGAGUGACGGUAAUGGGUAAAGAAGCACCGGCUAACUACGUG